Molecule: long non-coding RNA, 665 nt
Organism: Paramisgurnus dabryanus
Lineage: Eukaryota; Metazoa; Chordata; Actinopteri; Cypriniformes; Cobitidae
Source: RefSeq, a predicted model, not a curated record
UUACUGGGAGUGAAGGCAGUGGAUCAUAGCUCUAAAAAGUUGUAUAGCUGCAGGUCGGCCACUGGCUUGAUAACAGUGAUAUAUGAAUAAAUCUUUCACCAACCAUUCACGUAUUUCCUGACAAAACAGACCCAAGUCUUGUUCAGCCUGAUGCUCAACCUUGUAUGAUGAUGACUGUUGCAAGGUGAUGGGAAUCUGUGAUAAUCACAGCCUGCGUCUCAAGAUCAACAUGACAAUAACAGACCAUCUCUUAUCUUAAUCUUAUCCGACUAAAUGUUCAACGUCACUGCGACAAAACAAAGAACAUUGUACUGUACCAUGAUUCAGCAAACAAAAUAUGGACUUUUUUGUUAGCUUCUACAAACAUUGACACAAUAUUGACUUUUAUUUUUACAUUUAGUAAUGUAUUAUUAACAUCUCAUUCAUUUGUAUUCUAUGCCAUCUAUCUGUUUGUGCUAAAGUGUUUACAUCUGAAUGUAAUGUCAUAAUAUGUUAAUAUUUAGUAUUUAUCAUUUGCAUGUUUUGAUGUUGCAUAUGUCAUGAUUUUAUUGAUUUCAUGUAAUUGUUGUCUAUUUAGAGUUAUUGUCCUUGCCAAAUUUUAUUGUUUAUUUAUUUAAUAUUAAAGCAGUUAUUUAACAUCCAUAUCUUAUUUGAGUAGUGAUUUG